UGGGGAAUAUUGCACAAUGGGGGAAACCCUGAUGCAGCGACGCCGCGUGAACGAAGAAGGUAUUCGUAUCGUAAAGUUCUGUCCUAUGGGAAGAUAAUGACAGUACCAUAGAAGAAAGCUCCGGCUAAAUACGUGCCAGCAGCCGCGGUAAUACGUAUGGAGAGAGCGUUGUCCGGAAUUAUUGGGCGUAAAGGGUACGCAGGCGGUUUAAUAAGUCGAAUGUUAAAGAUCGGGGCUCAACCCCGUAAAGCAUUGGAAACUGAUAAACUUGGGUAGUGGAGAGGAAAGUGGAAUUCCUAGUGUGGUGGUGAAAUACGUAGAUAUUACGAGGAAUACCAGUGGCGAAGGCGACUUUCUGGACACAAACUGACGCUGAGGUACGAAAGCGUGGGGAGCAAACAGG
This 403-nucleotide ribosomal RNA is filed under the name bacterium. RNAcentral's name for it is "partial 16S ribosomal RNA". It matches the Rfam family "Bacterial small subunit ribosomal RNA", at positions 355 to 776 of the family's 1533-position model. The record is from RNAcentral.